Antechinus flavipes (yellow-footed antechinus) is the source of this 1198-nucleotide long non-coding RNA. RefSeq lists it as uncharacterized. NCBI's taxonomy places the organism in Eukaryota, Metazoa, Chordata, Mammalia, Dasyuromorphia, Dasyuridae. The record is from RefSeq and is a predicted model, not a curated record. The transcript has 4 exons.
AUGGGCAAAGAGACUGUGGAUGGCACCUAAACCUCUCUUCUUAAAAGAACUGAAUUUUCUUAUCGAAUAUGAUAUGCUUGAGCUUUAGAAUGUCAUUAGCAGAUGUACAUCUUUUGGAAGAAGCAAUAUUACUGAGCCUUCAUAUGUACUGAAGUCCCAUAGGAGAAGAGAACAACAGCAACAGCAACAGCAACAGCAGCAACAACAAGAAGAAGCAAUAUUUUUCUAUAUGUUCCCUAAGAUUUUUAAAUCAUUUGAUAUAUGUAUAUAUAAAAUAUAAAGUCAGUAUAGUAUAUAUAUCCAUAUAUAGAUAUAUAUACAUAUAGUGCCUCAUUAAGUUCUCACAUAAAAUCUGAAAGCUGAUCCAAGAGGAGGAUUGAAAGAAAACAGAGCUCCCAUAGACAAAGACUGAUUCUUCAUCUAUCUGACAUGUCAUGCCAACAAAUGGUUUUGUGUGCACUCUGUCAGUGUCUUAAUCAUUGUCACUCCAACCCCCUCCCCCAACACCUUCACAGCUAAGAAAGCUCUUCCAGUACUUAAUCCUUCAACUUGUCUAUGUUGUAAAGACAUUCAGAUGAGACAUGAUAAUAUACAUGAUUUACAUGUUUCUGUCAUUGGCCAGAUUUGUCACACAUCAAAAUCACAUAAGAAGAAUUUCCCUUUGGAAAUAUGUGAUGUUCUUGAUUAGAUCUAAAAAAUAAGUCUGCCUUUAGUAAUCUAAAUUUUUGGUUUUGUGGAUUUCUUUUAAUAAUUUUACAAAUAGUUUCACAAAAUAAAUACUUUUUUUACAGUUAUUAGUAUUAAAAGUAUGCAUGACAGCCUAAAAAGGUUUCUUUCUCUAUAUCAUCUGUGAUUGCUAGAAGCAUGUAAGUGAUUUAAUCGUCACCCUAUAGGGUCAUCAAGAGGUAGAUCUUGAAUAGAAUUAAAAGUCUAUGCAAUUAUUGGGAGGAAUCUUAGUUUGUAAUUUCUCUGCUGAUAGUGUUUUCUACAGGAUUCUACUAAUAGACUGAUUAUUUUGUAAUGAAACAUCCUACUAUAUGGUACUACUGUCAUGAAUACUCUGUGAACACUCAGGGAAAAAAAAAGUUGAAUUGUGUCAGUCUCAUUUUAUUCAUCUGUGAUUCGUAAGACAAAAUUGAUUUCACUUCCUUCAAUGAAAACAGAGUAACCUGAAAGACAUGUGUAGUUAACUCAAUAA